GGUUGUGGCUCAGUGGUAGAGCACUUGCCUAGCAUGGGUGAGGCACUGGGUUCGAUUCUCAGCACCA
Molecule: transfer RNA, 67 nt
Filed under: Marmota monax (woodchuck)
Lineage: Eukaryota; Metazoa; Chordata; Mammalia; Rodentia; Sciuridae
Description: tRNA.Ala
Source: RNAcentral